CACAUCAUUGCUUACCUCUACCAUUGAAUUGGCUCCGGUGAUUAACCAAUUCACAUCCCGAUUUUCAAACACUAAAUAAAUGUCAGGAACACUAAACCCGAGUAAUGACAUAUCCAAGUCUUCUUUACGAUAACAAUCUUUAAACGGUGACAGAGCUGCAACCUUUCUCACUUUCCUAUUUCCUGUAGUAACUAGCAUUUGCUCAUCAAACACCUUAACAAAUGACUUGUAGAUGGAAGUCUCAAGAGUGGUAUAAGGUUGCACUGUAGUUAUUCUUGAACCACCG
Molecule: unclassified non-coding RNA, 286 nt
Filed under: Hevea brasiliensis (rubber tree)
Lineage: Eukaryota; Viridiplantae; Streptophyta; Magnoliopsida; Malpighiales; Euphorbiaceae
Source: RNAcentral